Pecten maximus is the source of this 290-nucleotide long non-coding RNA. RefSeq lists it as uncharacterized. The transcript is spliced from 2 exons. Lineage: Eukaryota; Metazoa; Mollusca; Bivalvia; Pectinida; Pectinidae. The record is from RefSeq and is a predicted model, not a curated record.
UUUUGUAUCUAAAUAUGUUUAAAAUGGGUGGAUAAAGGACAGCCACUGGUAUCACAGAAUGAUGUGUGCGUCGUUAUACGGUAGUAAGUCUGACAUAACAAGGAACGGUCCCUAACCGGAAGAGCUUCCGUUUGGAUACCAUGGUGACAGCAUUAUCUACUGCUACUGGGAAGCUACUGCUGUGCUCGUCUUCGUUUGGUUUUCUACACAGUUGAAAAAUGCAAUCACAGCUUCAAAGGGCUGCAGCAUUUUGAAAGAACUGCUACAUUAUCGUGACUGAAAAUACAAAA